UUGGACCGGAAAACAGGCAAGGGUAC
This 26-nucleotide ribosomal RNA is filed under the name Phytophthora cinnamomi. RNAcentral describes it as "partial 28S ribosomal RNA". Lineage: Eukaryota; Oomycota; Peronosporomycetes; Peronosporales; Peronosporaceae. The record is from RNAcentral.